ACUCCUACGGGAGGCAGCAGUGGGGAAUAUUGCACAAUGGGCGCAAGCCUGAUGCAGCCAUGCCGCGUGUAUGAAGAAGGCCUUCGGGUUGUAAAGUACUUUCAGCAGUGAGGAAGGUGGGGUAUGUUAAUAGCAUAUUCAUUUGACGUAGCUGCAGAAAGAAGCACCGGGCUAACUCCGUGCCAGCAGCCGCGGUAAUACGGAGGGUGCGAGCGUUAAUCGGAAUUACUGGGCGUAAAGCGCAUGCAGGUGGUUUGUUAAGUCAGAUGUGAAAGCCCGGGGCUCAACCUCGGAAUUGCAUUUGAAACUGGCAAAACUAGAGUACUGUAGAGGGGGGUAGAAUUUCAGGUGUAGCGGUGAAAUGCGUAGAGAUCUGAAGGAAUACCGGUGGCGAAGGCGGCCCCCUGGACAGAUACUGACACUCAGAUGCGAAAGCGUGGGGAGCAAACAGGAUUAGAUACCCUGGUAGGAUAGCGU
RNAcentral lists this ribosomal RNA (477 nucleotides) under uncultured bacterium. RNAcentral's name for it is "bacterial SSU rRNA". It matches the Rfam family "Bacterial small subunit ribosomal RNA", at positions 335 to 800 of the family's 1533-position model. The record is from RNAcentral.